GACGAACGCUGGCGGCGUGCCUAACACAUGCAAGUCGAACGGAGUGAAGCCCUUCGGGACUUUACUUAGUGGCGAACGGGUGAGUAACGCGUGAGGAACCUGCCUUUCAGUGGGGGACAACAGUUGGAAACGACUGCUAAUACCGCAUGACGCUUCUUGGGGGCAUCCCCGGGAAGCCAAAGAUUUAUUGCCUGAAAAGAUGGCCUCGCGUCUGAUUAGCUGGUUGGUGAGGUAACGGCCCACCAAGGCGACGAUCAGUAGCCGGACUGAGAGGUUCAACGGCCACAUUGGGACUGAGAUACGGCCCAGACUCCUACGGGAGGCAGCAGUCGGGAAUUUUGCGCAAUGGAGGAAACUCUGACGCAGUGAUGCCGCGUAUAGG
RNAcentral lists this ribosomal RNA (382 nucleotides) under uncultured bacterium. RNAcentral describes it as "bacterial SSU rRNA". It matches the Rfam family "Bacterial small subunit ribosomal RNA", at positions 28 to 407 of the family's 1533-position model. The record is from RNAcentral.